This 377-nucleotide unclassified non-coding RNA is filed under the name uncultured Bacteriovoracaceae bacterium. Its description in RNAcentral is "contains 16S-23S intergenic spacer region". The record is from RNAcentral. Lineage: Bacteria; Pseudomonadati; Bdellovibrionota; Bacteriovoracia; Bacteriovoracales; Bacteriovoracaceae.
UCCGGGUUAACCCCGGCAGUCUCCUUAGAGUGCCCAACUUAAUGCUGGCAACUAAGAAUAGGGGUUGCGCUCGUUGCGAGACUUAACCCAACAUUUCACAACACGAGCUGACGACAGCCAUGCAGCGCCUGUCUCCGAGCUCCCUUGCGGGCACCUCUCCAUCUCUGGUGAGUUCUCGGGAUUUCAAACCCAGGUAAGGUUUUUCGCGUUGCUUCGAAUUAAACCACAUGAUCCACCGCUUGUGCGGGCCCCCGUCAAUUCCUUUGAGUUUUAGUCUUGCGACCGUACUCCUCAGGCGGAGUACUUACUGCGUUAGCGUCGUCACGGAAGCGUAACCGCUCCCAUAACUAGUACUCAUCGUUUACGGCGUGGACUAC